UGCGCAGGCGGGCUCGUUAGUCAGGAGUGAAAUCUCGGCGCUUAACGCCGAAACGUCUUUUGAUACUGCGGGCCUUGGAUAAGCGAGAGGUUCGUGGAAUUCCGAGUGUAGCAGUGAAAUGUGUAGAUAUUCGGAAGAACACCAGUGGCGAAGGCAGCGAACUGGCGCUUUAUCGACGCUCAUGCACGAAAGCAUGGGGAUCAAACA
RNAcentral lists this ribosomal RNA (207 nucleotides) under uncultured bacterium. Its description in RNAcentral is "partial 16S ribosomal RNA". It matches the Rfam family "Bacterial small subunit ribosomal RNA", at positions 568 to 774 of the family's 1533-position model. The record is from RNAcentral.